This 3158-nucleotide long non-coding RNA is filed under the name Homo sapiens (human). RNAcentral describes it as "HSALNT0404115". The record is from RNAcentral. Lineage: Eukaryota; Metazoa; Chordata; Mammalia; Primates; Hominidae.
GGAUCCAAGAAAGAAGUUGCAUUUCCUAAAUGUUUAUAAACCUUUAUUUAUAAAUUAUAACUUAGUUUCUCUCCCUCUCUGCCCUUAGUUCUCCUUUUAAAGGUAGGAGCAGGCUCCUUGUGUUCUUUUAGGGAAGAUUUAGCACUUCUUAGAUUGCUUGUCUCUGGAGCUACUACCGGGUCACACUGCUCCUUCACCUGUCUGCAAAACUGGCACCAGGAAGUUACCUGAGCCAGGUGUGUUCAGUCAGACCUGUCUCCUUCCAGGGCACUGCAUCCUUGAGGGGCAUAGAAUAAGGCUCACCCUUGGUUCACUUUGUUCUAGAUCCAGACUUCCCCGGCCUUAUCCCACCAUCAGCUGCACCAAAAGCCCCACUCCUGAGGUGGCUUUUAUGAGAUAAAGGUAAAGGACAGAAGAGAGAGAAGGUAGACAAUAACCUCUGUCUGACUUGCCUCUUGUAUUUGCCCAUGAAUAAGCAACAAACUCAUCUUUGCAGACAUAAAAGUUAAUAUUAACUCAUGUAAUGGCUUUCUGACAAUUUUCGGUGUGGAAUUAUUUUUACUUGAAAGAAUUAAAACAACAUAUUUAGAGAUACAUGAUUUAAUCCGGGGUGCAAUGCUUGAAUUGCUGCAGGGAAAAAAAUAACGGUAGCUGUAUCACUUACAUAUUAAAGACUGAAGAAAAUGAUUAGGGAGGUGUAUAUGCCUUCAACAAGCAUUCCCACGGGCCAGUCAUUGACAGCUUUAUCAUGCUUACAGCUCAGUCUCUGGACUCUUAUGUUGGCUCUAAGACUCUGACGCAUCCACCACACAAAUACAUUUCAUAAGCAAUCCUGGACUCUGAGGCAAAGUAUGCAAAAAACUUCGUGGGCUGCUUUGAGUCUCUAAACAGAUGAGAGGGGAUUGCACAGGAAAGGAUAUUCCAAAGAUUUGACAUGUACUGAUUAAAUCCGAAUAACUUUGCCUCUCUAUUCCGUGCCUAAAGCCACAUAUUGGUGAGUUUUCUUAUAACGAGUAUGUCAUUGUUAUUCAGGUAUAUAAUUGCACACACCACACACACGCGCACACACACACACACACACGCCCCAAGAAAGCACAGCCCUUUCGAGAUUUCCUCGAUGCAGAAGCAGAGUGAGGUUGUGCUGAGCCUUAUGGGAAAGAGCCCAGAGACCUGCUUUUGUUGGCUUCUCAGGUUUGCUGGCAUGUGCAGCCUGGGGUCUCGCUCUCUUUCCCCCCAAAACACUGGCUGUCUGCACUGGUGAGAAGUGUGAGGAGAGGAAAUUGGGGAAAUAAGACUUUCUGUAAAAUGACCACAACUGUUGGUGGGAGGAAGGAGUGGAAACAUGGAGAGAGGACGUUUUAGAAAAAUGUGUUUUCCUUAAGCAACCAGAAUCACAAAGUUCAACUAAGGCAAUUUCUGUAAAACCCCCAGACUAUUUAUACAUUUAUUUAAUUCAGUGAAGAAAGGUCUGUUCCGUUAUUUGAUGAGCGUUUCUGACAUGCUGCUACCAGGAAUUUGGUUAAACUCUUCUAAUCUUCAGUAUUUUGGGAAGACUUGCCUUGUGGCCUCUGGGCCAUUCCCUGGAUGGUCACUUAUUAUAUUAACAGAGAAGGAGAAAAACUGCUAAAAAGUAAAACCCUAGAAGGUAUGGGAAGAAAGAACAGCGCCCGGGGAAGCUGUGUGUGAGUGGGGAAAACAACUUCCUCUUCUGAACAAUCUUUCAGAGGACAUUCCUCCUAGAGUUUAAAACAUUACAGUCUCCAGAGCCCAGCGCCAAUUCCGUGUCAGCCCACAACCCGCUCUGGUUGCACAGCUUCACGAGUCACAAGGACUGGAUGGACAAGUGUGUGUGCCUAGUGACUGCCUUCUCCCAGCACAUGCACCAUGUCCCGGUGGCAUUGCCGGAGAUGGUCCGUGCCCUCUCAGCCCAGCAGCAGACCCUCAGGCAGAUCACCAUCUGUGGAGACCGCCAGGCCAAGGACACCAAAGUUCUGGUGCAGUGCGUCCACCCUGUCUACAUUCCUAACAUGGUGCUGAUUCUGGCUGAUGGGGACCCCUCGAGUUUCCUGUCCCACUGGCUGCCUUUCCUGAGUACCCUCCGAAGGCAGGAAGACCAGGCCACUGCGUAUGUGUGUGAGAAUCAAGCCUGCUCAAUGCUCAUCAUGGAUCCCUGUGAAUUACGAAAACUGCUACAUCCGUGACUGCCCCAACCCUCUUGGGCUGGGGCAGAAGGUAGAGCUUCCCAACUGACUAAAGACUCAGGUCCUGCAGGGCCGUGUAGAACUUGUGGCCAUCCCUGAGCACCCUGCCACCAGGUGACUUCAGCCAUACUCACUGCCUCCCUUGGGCACCCACUCACCCUAGAAUAAACUUAACAGUAUCCUACGGUGGGGAAAAAAUUACAGUCUCCAGCCUAGAGGACAGAAUUAGGCUGUUUUGCUUUCUAUCGUUAUUGUUACUGUUGUUCUUGUUGUUGUUUUUAGCUUGUGUGUUCCCUUUGUCUUUGCAAUUAACAGAAGGACAUACCAUUGCGAUGGAUCUUUAGGAUGCCCAUAUUUAUAGCUGAACACACUCACUGGGCCCUGCUGUGUCCCAAAGGGUAGCUCUCUUCUUCCUUCUCAUGGUUUUCCUCUUGCUCCUUCAAGCUUUGGAAAAGGCUACAUUACUGUAGUUCACUGGACUUGGUUAUGUAACAAAAGUGAGCCAGGUACCUCAACACCAUUGAUCCUUGUGGACAGCCAAGGUCACUUUUCAUCUUUGAAUGGAGGUCAGCAGGAAAGACGAGAUGGCUGGGCUGGCAGAGUCUGCUGCCUGCCCCCCCGCUCACCUCCAUCCUGCACUCCUGUGCUAACAGCCCUCCAUUGUGGCCACUAAAACACCACAUUUCUCAGCCUGCUGUAAGAUGCCAGGAGAAGGGUAUUGAGACAGUGCAAUAAAGAGUCUGACUACAUUUCUGAUGUCUGGCUGCAUUCAAAUCUCAUUACUCCCUCUUCUCCUUUUGUUCCAUAUCCAGGAAGCUGAAAAGAAGGCCCAGGUGCUCCCUCCUUUGGAAUUGGUGGGAAAUUUAAACCCCACAAGCCUCUACCCCUGUGCAAAAGCCUUCACCCCAGCCUCAUCUCUACCCACAAUAAACGCCAAGCCAGUCUCUCUUCUCUGGA